Triplophysa rosa is the source of this 499-nucleotide long non-coding RNA. RefSeq lists it as uncharacterized. The record is from RefSeq and is a predicted model, not a curated record. NCBI's taxonomy places the organism in Eukaryota, Metazoa, Chordata, Actinopteri, Cypriniformes, Nemacheilidae. The transcript is spliced from 4 exons.
GGCGUGAGCGCCUCCCAGAAUCCUUUGUGUCCGAUUCCAGAACGCAGAGCAGGUGGCAUGUCAGAGAUUUAAGGGACUUUUUUAUAACAGGUAUGGGGCUUUUGUGCCGAGCACGAUUGAGCUAUCGCAUUUUAACGCGGGGGAGGCGAUGCAGAUGGGACAAAGGCCUCUUGCCGGCGAAGCAGGUGGGUGGCGUCUGAUCUGCCGGGUCAUCUCUUGUGACACUACAGGAGCAGCUCUGAGGCGCAAGUUUCUUAAGCAAGAUCAAAGCCUGGUUUGAAUGGACAAUCUAAUACAUCCCACCCAAAGUGUAGAAUAACCUCCAGUAUUAUAACACAAAAGAAGAUAUUUUGAAGAAUGUUGGUAAACAAACAACACUGGCCCCCGUUGACUUCCAUGUCGUACCCCAGAGAGCCUGCCGAGGGUCAGAGGUUAACAUGCUAAUAGAGGCUGCUGAUUGCUGCGAGUGGCUCUCUGUGGUUCUCGGCACGCAUGCGAC